GGAAUAUUGGUCAAUGGGCGCAAGCCUGAACCAGCCAUGCCGCGUGGAGGAUGACAGCCUUCUGGGUUGUAAACUUCUUUUAUAUGGGAAGAAAAGUACGGUUUCUACUGUAUCCGACGGUACCAUAUGACUAAGCACCGGCUAACCCCCUGCCCGCAGCCGCGGUAAUACGGAGGGUGCAAGCGUUAUCCGGAUUUACUGGGUUUAAAGGGUGUGUAGGCGGACAUUUAAGUCAGAGGUGAAAUCUCCGGGCUCAACCCGGAAACUGCCUUUGAUACUAUUUGUCUUGAAUUUCGUUGAGGUUGGCGGAAUAUAUCAUGUAGCGGUGAAAUGCAUAGAUAUGAUAUAGAACACCGAUUGCGAAGGCAGCUGGCUGAACGACGAUUGACGCUGAGGCACGAAAGCGUGGGUAGCG
RNAcentral lists this ribosomal RNA (415 nucleotides) under uncultured bacterium. RNAcentral's name for it is "bacterial SSU rRNA". It matches the Rfam family "Bacterial small subunit ribosomal RNA", at positions 358 to 770 of the family's 1533-position model. The record is from RNAcentral.